ACCAAAGCAGUGAAAUAUACCCUAAUUUACUGCAGUCUGUUCCCAGGCUAGGGGUCGAAUCGGAGCUGUAGCUGCCAGCCUACGCCAGAGCCACAGCAACGCGGGAUCCGAGCCGCAUCUGCAACCUACACCACAGCUCGCAGCAACGCCGGAUUGUUAACCCACUGAGCAAGGCCAGGGACCGAACCCGCAACCUCAUGGUUCCUAGUCGGAUUCGUUAACCACUGCGCCACGACUGGAACUCCUGCUGUCAUUUCUUGCUGGGUAUGUGCACUUGUCUCUUCCUGGUCCAGCCUCCUCAUAGAAGCCAGAGCCCUCCUGACACACAGGUUAGGUGAUGUGCAGUAUAAAUAUUUCACAAUAUUUAUUCUCAUGGAAUAAAACUCCUUCUUUAGCAAGGUGCCUGAGUUUUUUGUUUCUGGCCCCUGCUUACCUCUCCAUCCUCUUCUCUCCAGUGCGGUUUUUUGAUUUUUGACAUCCUGAACUUUCUGCCUGGAGUGUCCUUGUGUCACUUCUUUGCCUAAUUCCUUUUCAUCUUUUUUAGCAUAAGGAUAAGUCUUUAUGUAACUGUGUAAUUCUGGCAUGUAUAAGUUUAUGGAAUGUUUGGACAAACGUGGGAAUGAAUAAAUGAAUAAAUAAGUAUAAAGAAAAUGGAUUUCUAAAAAUUGUGGUAAAAUACAUGUAACACAAAAUUUACCAUCUUAACUAUUUUUUUGUGUAGAGUUCAGUGACAUUAAGUACAUUCACAUUUUUCUAUAACCAUCACCACCAUCCAUCUCCAGAAUGUUUUUUUCUUGUGGAAACUGAAACUUAGUACCCAUUAAAUGCUAACUCUUCAUUUCCCCCUCCCCCUAAACCCUGGCAGCUACCAUUCUACUUUGUUUCUACAAGUUUGACUACUCCAGAUUCUUCAUAUGAGUGGAAUUAUACAGUAUUUGCCCUUUUGUGACAGGCUUGUUUCACUUAGCAUAAUGUCCUCAAAUUUCACCCAUUCACAUUGUUGAGUAUGUCAGAAUUUCCUUGCUAUUUAAGGUCGAAUGAUAUUCCGUUGCACAUAUAGACCAUUAUUUUGUUUAUGCUUUCAUGUAUUGUUUGUACAAAGAUGUAAUUUGUAGCAUUGUUUGAAAUAGUGAAAGGUUGUAAGCCAUCUAAAAGUCAUGUGAGCAUUUCUGCUGGGCACAGUGGGUUAAGAAACCAUCAGUAGCAGCUUGGAUCACUGCAGAGGCACAAGUUCAAUGCCCGGCCUGGUGCAGUGAGUUAAAGGAUCUGGCGUUGCUGCAGCUGUGGUGGAGGUCACAGCUGUGGCUUGGAUUCAAUCUCUGGCCCAGGAACUUCCAUAGACUGCAGGUGUGGCCAUAAAAGUAAGUAAAUAAAAAUAAAUAAAUAUCCAUGUGUAGGGGAUUAGUGAUGUAAAAUAACCUUACAGUAGAAAACUGUGUAGCAGUGAUAAAGAAUGGGGCUUCCCAUCGUGGCUCAGUGGAAAGAAAUCUGACUCAUAUCCAUGAGGAUGCAGGUUCGAUUCCUGGCCUUGCCUUGCUUAGUGUGUUAAAGGAUCCAUUGUUGUGGUGAGCUGUGGUGUAGGUCGCAGACACGGCUUGGAUCUGGCGUUGCUGUGGCAUAGGCUGGCACCUGCACCUCCGUAGCCUGGGAACUUCCAUGUGCCUCGGGUGUGGCCCUAAAAAGGCCAAAAAAAAAAAAA
RNAcentral lists this long non-coding RNA (1699 nucleotides) under Sus scrofa (pig). RNAcentral describes it as "lncRNA (ENSSSCG00050038231.1)". Lineage: Eukaryota; Metazoa; Chordata; Mammalia; Artiodactyla; Suidae. The record is from RNAcentral.